RNAcentral lists this microRNA (23 nucleotides) under Rattus norvegicus (Norway rat). RNAcentral's name for it is "rno-miR-6325". The record is from miRBase by way of RNAcentral. Lineage: Eukaryota; Metazoa; Chordata; Mammalia; Rodentia; Muridae.
AAAGUCAGACAGAGACUCUGCAG